GCCGCUGUGGUGGAAUAGGCAGACGCAAGGGACUUAAAAUCCCUCGGGUGAAAGCCCGUACCGGUUCAAGUCCGGUCAGCGGCACCA
Molecule: transfer RNA, 87 nt
Filed under: Clostridiales bacterium
Lineage: Bacteria; Bacillati; Bacillota; Clostridia; Eubacteriales
Also listed under: 2 other names
Description: tRNA-Leu
Rfam family: tRNA
About the family: Transfer RNA (tRNA) molecules are approximately 80 nucleotides in length.
Source: RNAcentral